CGCCCUUAGAGUUUGAUCAUGGCUCAGAUUGAACGCUGGCGGCAGGCCUAACACAUGCAAGUCGAACGGUAAGAGAGCUUGCUCUUGACGAGUGGCGGACGGGUGAGUAAUGUCUGGGAAACUGCCCGAUGGAGGGGGAUAACUACUGGAAACGGUAGCUAAUACCGCAUAACGUCUUCGGACCAAAGUGGUUCGUCACACCAUCGGAUGUGCCCAGAGGGGAUUAGCUA
This 230-nucleotide ribosomal RNA is filed under the name uncultured Erwinia sp. RNAcentral's name for it is "partial 16S ribosomal RNA". It matches the Rfam family "Bacterial small subunit ribosomal RNA", at positions 1 to 247 of the family's 1533-position model. The record is from RNAcentral. Lineage: Bacteria; Pseudomonadati; Pseudomonadota; Gammaproteobacteria; Enterobacterales; Erwiniaceae.